RNAcentral lists this ribosomal RNA (491 nucleotides) under uncultured bacterium. RNAcentral's name for it is "partial 16S ribosomal RNA". It matches the Rfam family "Bacterial small subunit ribosomal RNA", at positions 29 to 507 of the family's 1533-position model. The record is from RNAcentral.
GUGAACGCUGGCGGUAGGCCUAACCCGUGCCAGUCGCACGGCAGCACAGUAAGAGCUUGCUCUUACGGGUGGCGAGUGGCGGACGGGUGAGGAAUACAUCGGAAUCUACUUUUUCGUGGGGGAUAACGUAGGGAAACUUACGCUAAUACCGCAUACGACCUACGGGUGAAAGCAGGGGAUCUUCGGACCUUGCGCGAUUGAAUGAGCCGAUGUCGGAUUAGCUAGUUGGCGGGGUAAAGGCCCACCAAGGCGACGAUCCGUAGCUGGUCUGAGAGGAUGAUCAGCCACACUGGAACUGAGACACGGUCCAGACUCCUACGGGAGGCAGCAGUGGGGAAUAUUGGACAAUGGGCGCAAGCCUGAUCCAGCCAUACCGCGUGGGUGAAGUAGGCCUUCGGGUUGUAAAGCCCUUUUGUUGGGAAAGAAAAGCAGCAGGUUAAUACCCCGCUGUUCUGACGGUACCCAAAGAAUAAGCACCGGCUAACUUCGUG